Molecule: ribosomal RNA, 501 nt
Filed under: uncultured bacterium
Lineage: Bacteria
Description: partial 16S ribosomal RNA
Rfam family: Bacterial small subunit ribosomal RNA
Source: RNAcentral
AUUGAACGCUGGCGGCAGGCUUAACACAUGCAAGUCGAGCGGGGGAAGGUAGCUUGCUACCGGACCUAGCGGCGGACGGGUGAGUAAUGCUUAGGAAUCUGCCUAUUAGUGGGGGACAACAUCUCGAAAGGGAUGCUAAUACCGCAUACGUCCUACGGGAGAAAGCAGGGCAUCUUCGGACCUUGCGCCAAUAGAUGAGCCUAAGUCGGAUUAGCUAGUUAGUGGGGUAAAGGCCUACCAAGGCGACGAUCUGUAGCGGGUCUGAGAGGAUGAUCCGCCACACUGGGACUGAGACACGGCCCAGACUCCUACGGGAGGCAGCAGUGGGGAAUAUUGGACAAUGGGGGGAACCCUGAUCCAGCCAUGCCGCGUGUGUGAAGAAGGCCUUAUGGUUGUAAAGCACUUUAAGCGAGGAGGAGGCUACUUUAGUUAAUACCUAGAGAUAGUGGACGUUACUCGCAGAAUAAGCACCGGCUAACUCUGUGCCAGCCGCCGCCGUAA